GAACGCUGGCGGCGUGCCUAAUACAUGCAAGUUGAGCGCUGAAGGUUGGUACUUGUACCAACUGGAUGAGCAGCGAACGGGUGAGUAACGCGUGGGGAAUCUGCCUUUGAGCGGGGGACAACAUUUGGAAACGAAUGCUAAUACCGCAUAAAAACUUUAAACACAAGUUUUAAGUUUGAAAGAUGCAAUUGCAUCACUCAAAGAUGAUCCCGCGUUGUAUUAGCUAGUUGGUGAGGUAAAGGCUCACCAAGGCGAUGAUACAUAGCCGACCUGAGAGGGUGAUCGGCCACAUUGGGACUGAGACACGGCCCAAACUCCUACGGGGGGCAGCAGUAGGGAAUCUUCGGCAAUGGACGAAAGUCUGACCGAGCAACGCCGCGUGAGUGAAGAAGGUUUUCGGAUCGUAAAACUCUGUUGGUAGAGAAGAACGUUGGUGAGAGUGGAAAGCUCAUCAAGUGACGGUAACUACCCAGAAAGGGACGGCUAACUACGUG
This 494-nucleotide ribosomal RNA is filed under the name uncultured bacterium. RNAcentral's name for it is "partial 16S ribosomal RNA". It matches the Rfam family "Bacterial small subunit ribosomal RNA", at positions 31 to 507 of the family's 1533-position model. The record is from RNAcentral.